UCCUCGAUAGCUCAAAGGCAAGAGCAUCGGAUUUGUAAUUCGGAUGCUACGGGUUCGAGUCCCGCUCGAGGAG
Non-coding RNA from Harmonia axyridis, 73 nucleotides. The record is from the annotation of a RefSeq genome assembly. NCBI's taxonomy places the organism in Eukaryota, Metazoa, Arthropoda, Insecta, Coleoptera, Coccinellidae.